CGUACAGGAAGCAGCUUGCUGCUUCUCUGACGAGUGGCGGACGGGUGAGUAAUGUCUGGGAAACUGCCUGAUGGAGGGGGAUAACUACUGGAAACGGUAGCUAAUACCGCAUAACGUCGCAAGACCAAAGAGGGGGACCUUCGGGCCUCUUGCCAUCGGAUGUGCCCAGAUGGGAUUAGCUAGUAGGUGGGGUAACGGCUCACCUAGGCGACGAUCCCUAGCUGGUCUGAGAGGAUGACCAGCCACACUGGAACUGAGACACGGUCCAGACUCCUACGGGAGGCAGCAGUGGGGAAUAUUGCACAAUGGGCGCAAGCCUGAUGCAGCCAUGCCGCGUGUAUGAAGAAGGCCUUCGGGUUGUAAAGUACUUUCAGCGGGGAGGAAGGCGACAGGGUUAAUAACCCUGUCGAUUGACGUUACCCGCAGAAGAAGCACCGGCUAACUCCGUGCCAGCAGCCGCGGUAAUACGGAGGGUGCAAGCGUUAAUCGGAAUUACUGGGCGUAAAGCGCACGCAGGCGGUCUGUCAAGUCGGAUGUGAAAUCCCCGGGCUCAACCUGGGAACUGCAUUCGAAACUGGCAGGCUAGAGUCUUGUA
RNAcentral lists this ribosomal RNA (595 nucleotides) under Enterobacter cloacae. RNAcentral describes it as "bacterial SSU rRNA". It matches the Rfam family "Bacterial small subunit ribosomal RNA", at positions 63 to 653 of the family's 1533-position model. Lineage: Bacteria; Pseudomonadati; Pseudomonadota; Gammaproteobacteria; Enterobacterales; Enterobacteriaceae. The record is from RNAcentral.